This is a long non-coding RNA of Anguilla anguilla (European eel), 165 nucleotides long. RefSeq lists it as uncharacterized. The record is from RefSeq and is a predicted model, not a curated record. The transcript has 3 exons. Lineage: Eukaryota; Metazoa; Chordata; Actinopteri; Anguilliformes; Anguillidae.
CAGGUAGAAAGAGCAGGCGUGAUGUACUGACAGGUGUGUACUCACACAGGUAGAAAGAGCAGGCGUGAUGUACUGACAGGUGUGUACUCACACAGGUAGAAAGAGCAGGUGUGAUGUACUGACACAGGUAGAAAGAGCAGGCGUGAUGUACUGACAGGUGUGUAC